This 677-nucleotide ribosomal RNA is filed under the name uncultured Alphaproteobacteria bacterium. RNAcentral describes it as "bacterial SSU rRNA". It matches the Rfam family "Bacterial small subunit ribosomal RNA", at positions 46 to 751 of the family's 1533-position model. Lineage: Bacteria; Pseudomonadati; Pseudomonadota; Alphaproteobacteria. The record is from RNAcentral.
GCUCAUACAUGCAAGUCGAGCGGUCUUCUCGGUACAGUCGGUCAACGGGUUACUAACGCGUUGGACUUGCCCUUUAGUACGGAAUAGCCAUUGGAAACGAUGAUUAAUACCGUAUACGCCCCAAGGGGGACAAGAUUUCUCUGUUAGAGGAUCUGACCGCGUUAGAUUAGGUACUUGGUAGGGUAAUGGCCUUCCAAGCCGACGAUCUAUAGCUGAUUUGAGAGGACUGACUCAGCCAUCCCUGUGGACUGAGACACGGACCAGACUACUACCCGAAGGCGGUAGUACGGGAAUCUUGCCACAACUGGGCGAAAGCCUGAUCCAGCCGUGCCGCGUGAGUGAUGAGCGCCCUAGGGUCGUCCAGCUCUUGCGACAGGAAAGAUAAUGACGGUUCCUGCUCAAGAAACCUCGGCUAACUCCGUGCCCCCAGUCGUGGAUAAUACAGAGGGGGUUAGCGUUGUGCGAGCAUUACUGGCGCGUACAACGCACGUAGGCGGAUUAGUAAGAUCCGGGCGUGAAAUCCCGGAUGCUCGGGCUCAGGCGCUGCCUUUGAUACGUGUGAGUCUUGAGUACGAAAAAGCUGAGUGGCAUUCCGAGUAGAGAGGUGAAAACCGGCGAUAUUCAGAGGAAGACCACGUGGCCAAAGGCGGCUCACCGGCUCGAUAUUGACGCUACUG